GUCCACGCCGUAAACGAUGGGUGCUAGGUGUGGGGGUGUCGACUCCCUCCGUGCCGAAGCUAACGCAUUAAGCACCCCGCCUGGGGAGUACGGCCGCAAGGCUAAAACUCAAAGGAAUUGACGGGGGCCCGCACAAGCAGCGGAGCAUGUGGUUUAAUUCGACGCAACGCGAAGAACCUUACCUAGGCUUGACAUGCAUAAGAAUGGCGUGGAAACACGUCAGCCUUUCGGGGCUUAUGUACAGGUGUUGCAUGGCUGUCGU
This 262-nucleotide ribosomal RNA is filed under the name uncultured bacterium. Its description in RNAcentral is "partial 16S ribosomal RNA". It matches the Rfam family "Bacterial small subunit ribosomal RNA", at positions 793 to 1055 of the family's 1533-position model. The record is from RNAcentral.